AUGUUUAAACCACUAAAAUAAAUUAAAUUUGUUGUUGUUUUAUUAGUCUAUGAAGGAUGAAUUUCCCUUGUUUAGUCACCGGACGUAUGUUAUGAUCAGCAGUAUCUCCCACUUUUUGAGUAAACGUUGUGUAUUUCAAAUCUUGAAGUUAAAAAGAUGGAAACGAAGAUUCUGCUAAUUGCUUUUGCUGUGUUAUUUGUUAUUGGAAGUUAUUCUGUUUCAGGAGAGUGUCAAGGCUUUAACAAACCAUGUCCUACGGGAAAAGGCUGUAUCCAUCCCAGAGAUUUUUGUGAUGGUGUACCCGAUUGCAAGGAUGAAUCUGAUGAGUCUUAUGAAGAAUGCAGUCAGAAAAAAUAUGGUAACAAAGCAAAGUGUCUUUGGGAAGGAGAAGUUAGGUGCCGUGGUCAUAUCGGAUGCGUUCCUAAAGAAGAUUGUUUGUAACUACAACAACAACAACAAUACUUUAUUUUAAUAAAAAGAUGAAGCUUUAGCAGAUUAAUAAUAAAAAAAGAAAAGUCUUACAGUCAAACUUUAUUAAAUUAGUCUUUAUAACUAUACCCUUUACUAAAAUCAAUAUGAAAUAAAAUCUGUUUUCUGCUA
Mytilus trossulus (common blue mussel) is the source of this 600-nucleotide long non-coding RNA. RefSeq lists it as uncharacterized. Lineage: Eukaryota; Metazoa; Mollusca; Bivalvia; Mytilida; Mytilidae. The record is from RefSeq and is a predicted model, not a curated record. The transcript is spliced from 5 exons.